RNAcentral lists this ribosomal RNA (790 nucleotides) under Lentzea sp. RNAcentral describes it as "bacterial SSU rRNA". It matches the Rfam family "Bacterial small subunit ribosomal RNA", at positions 67 to 873 of the family's 1533-position model. Lineage: Bacteria; Bacillati; Actinomycetota; Actinomycetes; Pseudonocardiales; Pseudonocardiaceae. The record is from RNAcentral.
CGGUAAGGCCCUUCGGGGUACACGAGCGGCGAACGGGUGAGUAACACGUGGGUAACCUGCCCUGUACUCUGGGAUAAGCCCGGGAAACUGGGUCUAAUACCGGAUAUGACACCGUUCCGCAUGGUGGGGGGUGGAAAGUUCCGGCGGUACAGGAUGGACCCGCGGCCUAUCAGCUUGUUGGUGGGGUAAUGGCCUACCAAGGCGACGACGGGUAGCCGGCCUGAGAGGGUGACCGGCCACACUGGGACUGAGACACGGCCCAGACUCCUACGGGAGGCAGCAGUGGGGAAUAUUGCACAAUGGGCGAAAGCCUGAUGCAGCGACGCCGCGUGAGGGAUGACGGCCUUCGGGUUGUAAACCUCUUUCAGCAGGGACGAAGCGCAAGUGACGGUACCUGCAGAAGAAGCACCGGCUAACUACGUGCCAGCAGCCGCGGUAAUACGUAGGGUGCGAGCGUUGUCCGGAAUUAUUGGGCGUAAAGAGCUCGUAGGCGGUUUGUCGCGUCGGCCGUGAAAACUUGGGGCUUAACCCCGAGCCUGCGGUCGAUACGGGCAGACUUGAGUUCGGCAGGGGAGACUGGAAUUCCUGGUGUAGCGGUGAAAUGCGCAGAUAUCAGGAGGAACACCGGUGGCGAAGGCGGGUCUCUGGGCCGAUACUGACGCUGAGGAGCGAAAGCGUGGGGAGCGAACAGGAUUAGAUACCCUGGUAGUCCACGCCGUAAACGGUGGGUGCUAGGUGUGGGGGACUUCCACGUUCUCCGUGCCGCAGCUAACGCAUUAAGCACCCCGCC